UUAUUUUGCGAGUUUUCGACCCAUACCGAACCUCUGCCUCUGGACCCUGGAGGGGGCCCGGCGGCCCCCAUUUUAACCAGCCAACUGGUGUAUUAACACAUUUCAAAUCAAAUCUCUCAAGUUGGUUUCUAUACAAGAAAAUAUUAGACCUACAGUAUAUUCACAAAAGAGAUAUAUUCGAAAGGCCUAAAUAUCCCUUGUACAUAAUGCUAAAGAGGAUUAUUAUCACGCUGUAGAUGAGUUCUUGAAUUGUAAAUUUUUUUUUUCCAUUAAGUGCUGUGUUUGCUUAUGUUAGGCCUUAUAACCAUUACACUUUAAGGACCGUCGGAAUCGCAUCGGCCUCAUGCAUGGUUCACUUUAGGGGUAUAAAUUUUAAUUGCAAGUAAUUAGGGACGGCUUGACCCGUAUACCUUUGUGUGGUGACGAAAAUUUGCCCGACUUUAACCCCCAAAAUUUUAUAAAUAGUUAUUUUAUAUUUAUUUUAAACAUUUUCAAAUCAAUCUUAGGCUAAUUAUUAAAUUUAAGGAUUGGCAGUCAAAAACAGUUAAAAGUUAAAGUGUACAUUGACAAUACAAAAACAAGUGCAUGGUGGAUUUUUGUUUAAAUUUAAUAACAUUAAAAAGACAUAAUUAGCCUAAUUUGUAUAAUUUGUAGGUAUCAGUAUAUAAUUAUUUUUAAAAAGUAAUAAAAUUGAGAAAAAGUCGUCCGGCCAAAGCCGGUGCGGUUCCGACGGCCCUGAAUAUGUGGCAGUCUAUUUAUCUGGAUAGGCAACUUCCUACAAGGUAGAUUUCAGCUAGUCGUGCUGGAUGGAGAGUUAUCACAACAAUCAGGUGUAUUAUCCGGUGUGCCCCAGGGCACAGUUCUGGGCCCUCUCCUAUUCUUGGUAUACAUCAACUAACUUUCAUCCAUGUUAAUUCAAUUUUAAUAGGAUAGAAAAACUAUUAUUACAAGUUUUAAUAUAUAUUUUGGGUGAAAUCUGAUGUUGAUCUUUGAAUGAUGACCUUUUGACCUCCUGUGACAUAAUUAACGAUGUACUGUAAUUACAUUGUCCUUUAUACCAAAUGAUAGAAAAUGUAUUAUUCUGCACUUUGAUACUAAAAACAAAAAAAUAUAUUCGAGAUUAAAAUUUGUGGGCAUAAAUGUUACCCCCACCCCAUAUCCCAAUAUUGAACAAAAAAAAGUACCCAUCUUUGAUGUUGGUUUUACAUGCACUGACAACCAGAAAUUGCUUGACUAACAAGGUGUUUUUUGAAGCUUAUACUGUACAUAUAGGAAACAAACUGAAAAAAAUAAUUUCAGCUAUAAGGUGGGGGGGGGGGUGCAUGGGCAGUGUUCAUAGCCACUGGACUAUAACUUGUAGCCAAGUUGAAUUGGGGCUGAGUUGCCUGGGGCGGAGUUGACCUCCUUCCAGAUAGGCCUGCCCUAGACUCUGAUCUAAUCCAUGGCACAUAUUUUAAUUUAUGAAUAAAAGUAUCAUGUAGGCCUAGGCCUACGCUCUAAUUAAAAGCGUUGGUUAAUAUUGAUUUAAUGUUACAAAACUAAAACUGAUGAUUAUUGGAUAGUGAAGAAACACUCAAUAUGGGCCAUACUGUAAAUUAUUUUAAUUAGUUGCACGGAUGACAUCAAAAACAGGAAAGUGGGUGCGCAUAAUCACCAUAAUACACUUGGGUCAAUACCUGAUUUUCAACAAAAACUGUGCAAAAAACAGCCUUUAUUUUAAGUGUGUGGGUGAAUUUCCAGGUUCAAUUUAUUCCCCCACGCAGGCCUUAUUUUACAGUCGGGAAUAUGGGCAAGAAAAAAGUCCUUGAUAUGGGCUGGCCAUACUGUAAAAUAUUUUAAUUAUGCAGUGGAUACAUCUAAACAUAAGUUCUUGAAUUGUAAAUUCAUAAUUUUGCAUUAAUUAUGUUAUUAUGUUUGUAUAAAUAAAUUUAAUGUAUGUAUUUUAUUUUAUUUCAGUAAAUGUUCUGUAAAAGUCCAACCAUUGCAAAAUGCACUUUUGAAGAUGUCAGCAAACCCGUAGACCAGUGGCUAUAAUGUUGCUAUCUCGUUUUGUUCUCGCUAAUUUUUGCUGAAUGUGAACCAGUGGUCUCAUCCUGCUCAGCUCUAUGGCUAUAAUGUUGUUGUUGAGAUUGGCUUGCUAAUAAUUGAAUGAUUCUAGUAUUUAAAUAUUCUUCGUAUUUCAUUUAGUAUUGAAAAAAAUAAAUAUUCAUUGUAUAAUACUGAAUAAAUAUUGGAAAUAGUCUUCAUUGUA
RNAcentral lists this long non-coding RNA (2251 nucleotides) under Anneissia japonica. RNAcentral's name for it is "uncharacterized LOC117110309". Lineage: Eukaryota; Metazoa; Echinodermata; Crinoidea; Comatulida; Comatulidae. The record is from RNAcentral.